RNAcentral lists this ribosomal RNA (497 nucleotides) under uncultured bacterium. RNAcentral's name for it is "partial 16S ribosomal RNA". It matches the Rfam family "Bacterial small subunit ribosomal RNA", at positions 28 to 507 of the family's 1533-position model. The record is from RNAcentral.
GAUGAACGCUGGCGGCGUGCCUAAUACAUGCAAGUCGAACGCUGAAGGAAGGAGCUUGCUCUUUCCGGAUGAGUUGCGAACGGGUGAGUAACGCGUAGGUAACCUGCCUGGUAGCGGGGGAUCACUAGUGGAAACGAUAGCUAAUACCGCAUAACAGUAGAUGUUGCAUGACAACUAUUUGAAAGUGGCAAUUGCUCCACUACCAGAUGGACCUGCGUUGUAUUAGGUAGUUGGUGAGGUAACGGCUCACCAAGGCGGCGUUACAUAGCGGACCUGAGAGGGUGAUCGGCCGCACUGGGACGGAGACAGGGCCCAGACGCCCACGGGUGGCAGCAGGAGUGAAACUUCGGCAAGGGACGGAAGUCUGACCGAGCAACGCCGCGGGAGUGAAGAAGGGUGUCGGAUCGUAAAGCUCGGUUGUAAGAGAAGAACGAGUGUGAGAGUGGAAAGUUCACACUGUGACGGUAUCGUACCAGAAAGGGACGGCUAACUACGUG